AAUACUAAGUCAUGGUUUAAUAAACCAUGGGUUAGUAUUAUGAACAAACCAGGCCUGCUCUAGUAUUUUGGACUGGAGCAGGGGGCACAGGGGUCAUCAAGGAAGCUCAGAAUAAAACUGUAUGCGGAAAUCUGUGGUUGGAGGCAAAUAAAUUCUUCAAUAUAUUUGACAUUCUUUUGAAACCCAUUAAGGGAUGGGGAAAUCACUUAGCAUGUGAUCUGGAGAAUAACAGCAGAUAGAGAAAUGCCUGCCUAUUUAUUCUUUGCUUGCAAAUGCACCCUUCCCAGCAUAUUGUUAAUUGGAAAAAACUGCAUUGAAAUGUGCACUUUGGUCCUAACAAUUAUGAGGUUUUGUGCUUACAAAUACAUAAAGAUGCAUAAGGAAUAGGGCUAAUAUCCUUUAGAUAUUCCUAACCUAACAUCCCAAUGAAAUGAACAAAACCUGAGAAAAAAUGAAUCCAAAAGCAAUGGAAGGCAAAAAUCAAUUUUAAGAUAAAAUGAGAUAAUAUAUUACAGUACAAAUAAUUACCCAUUGAACUUCAUUCAAAAGAUUAACUGAAUUCACAAAAGGUGACAGUGUUCCCAUAGAUAAAGUUCAUGUGCUAUUGAAUUGUCAUGUUAGAGAAAUUUUCUUCCCCCUGAUGGUAUCAUGUCCUUUUCAGUAUCUUAUGUGGAAACAGUCAAACUAUACCUGAAUAAUCCCAUGAGGACCAGCAGGCCAUCCUCACCCCACCCGCCAGCUUUAUUUCAAGAAAUGAAUGAUAAAUGUCUCUGGAAUGGCAAUAUUAAAUAAAUUCUUAAAUUGGAGAAGAAAACUCGGUCUUACCGGAGCUGCGGUUGUGGUUACCUAUAUAAAGGAAAAGGGAAGAAAGAAGGGAAAAGGAUCAGCAUUAAUAACACAUAACUCAAGAAUUCAGCCCUUCUUUCCUACAUGUUUAAUUUGCAAAUUAUUAUUUCCUUAAUGCAAAUAAAACAGUAUUAGGUUUUGCCUCUAUUUUCUGAAAUCUAAACCAAAAAUGCGAACACAUAAUUAUUAUUAUUUUUUUAAAAAAACCUUUAUAUUCUAACCUCCUCUUCAUCAUCAUAGUCAACAGCAGCCUGGGAUUUAACGAUGACAACAACAGAAAGGAGAAACAGCAACAGUAGUUUCAUGAUUUUGGGUUGCGGGAGCAUCUUAGCAGCUUCUCUCCCCUCUGUAAAA
Podarcis raffonei (Aeolian wall lizard) is the source of this 1200-nucleotide long non-coding RNA. RefSeq lists it as uncharacterized. Lineage: Eukaryota; Metazoa; Chordata; Lepidosauria; Squamata; Lacertidae. The record is from RefSeq and is a predicted model, not a curated record. The transcript has 2 exons.